Molecule: ribosomal RNA, 2930 nt
Filed under: Escherichia coli
Lineage: Bacteria; Pseudomonadati; Pseudomonadota; Gammaproteobacteria; Enterobacterales; Enterobacteriaceae
Description: 23S ribosomal RNA
Rfam family: Bacterial large subunit ribosomal RNA
Source: RNAcentral
GGGUUGUGAGGUUAAGCGACUAAGCGUACACGGUGGAUGCCCUGGCAGUCAGAGGCGAUGAAGGACGUGCUAAUCUGCGAUAAGCGUCGGUAAGGUGAUAUGAACCGUUAUAACCGGCGAUUUCCGAAUGGGGAAACCCAGUGUGUUUCGACACACUAUCAUUAACUGAAUCCAUAGGUUAAUGAGGCGAACCGGGGGAACUGAAACAUCUAAGUACCCCGAGGAAAAGAAAUCAACCGAGAUUCCCCCAGUAGCGGCGAGCGAACGGGGAGCAGCCCAGAGCCUGAAUCAGUGUGUGUGUUAGUGGAAGCGUCUGGAAAGGCGCGCGAUACAGGGUGACAGCCCCGUACACAAAAAUGCACAUGCUGUGAGCUCGAUGAGUAGGGCGGGACACGUGGUAUCCUGUCUGAAUAUGGGGGGACCAUCCUCCAAGGCUAAAUACUCCUGACUGACCGAUAGUGAACCAGUACCGUGAGGGAAAGGCGAAAAGAACCCCGGCGAGGGGAGUGAAAAAGAACCUGAAACCGUGUACGUACAAGCAGUGGGAGCACGCUUAGGCGUGUGACUGCGUACCUUUUGUAUAAUGGGUCAGCGACUUAUAUUCUGUAGCAAGGUUAACCGAAUAGGGGAGCCGAAGGGAAACCGAGUCUUAACUGGGCGUUAAGUUGCAGGGUAUAGACCCGAAACCCGGUGAUCUAGCCAUGGGCAGGUUGAAGGUUGGGUAACACUAACUGGAGGACCGAACCGACUAAUGUUGAAAAAUUAGCGGAUGACUUGUGGCUGGGGGUGAAAGGCCAAUCAAACCGGGAGAUAGCUGGUUCUCCCCGAAAGCUAUUUAGGUAGCGCCUCGUGAAUUCAUCUCCGGGGGUAGAGCACUGUUUCGGCAAGGGGGUCAUCCCGACUUACCAACCCGAUGCAAACUGCGAAUACCGGAGAAUGUUAUCACGGGAGACACACGGCGGGUGCUAACGUCCGUCGUGAAGAGGGAAACAACCCAGACCGCCAGCUAAGGUCCCAAAGUCAUGGUUAAGUGGGAAACGAUGUGGGAAGGCCCAGACAGCCAGGAUGUUGGCUUAGAAGCAGCCAUCAUUUAAAGAAAGCGUAAUAGCUCACUGGUCGAGUCGGCCUGCGCGGAAGAUGUAACGGGGCUAAACCAUGCACCGAAGCUGCGGCAGCGACGCUUAUGCGUUGUUGGGUAGGGGAGCGUUCUGUAAGCCUGUGAAGGUGUGCUGUGAGGCAUGCUGGAGGUAUCAGAAGUGCGAAUGCUGACAUAAGUAACGAUAAAGCGGGUGAAAAGCCCGCUCGCCGGAAGACCAAGGGUUCCUGUCCAACGUUAAUCGGGGCAGGGUGAGUCGACCCCUAAGGCGAGGCCGAAAGGCGUAGUCGAUGGGAAACAGGUUAAUAUUCCUGUACUUGGUGUUACUGCGAAGGGGGGACGGAGAAGGCUAUGUUGGCCGGGCGACGGUUGUCCCGGUUUAAGCGUGUAGGCUGGUUUUCCAGGCAAAUCCGGAAAAUCAAGGCUGAGGCGUGAUGACGAGGCACUACGGUGCUGAAGCAACAAAUGCCCUGCUUCCAGGAAAAGCCUCUAAGCAUCAGGUAACAUCAAAUCGUACCCCAAACCGACACAGGUGGUCAGGUAGAGAAUACCAAGGCGCUUGAGAGAACUCGGGUGAAGGAACUAGGCAAAAUGGUGCCGUAACUUCGGGAGAAGGCACGCUGAUAUGUAGGUGAAGUCCCUCGCGGAUGGAGCUGAAAUCAGUCGAAGAUACCAGCUGGCUGCAACUGUUUAUUAAAAACACAGCACUGUGCAAACACGAAAGUGGACGUAUACGGUGUGACGCCUGCCCGGUGCCGGAAGGUUAAUUGAUGGGGUCAGCGCAAGCGAAGCUCUUGAUCGAAGCCCCGGUAAACGGCGGCCGUAACUAUAACGGUCCUAAGGUAGCGAAAUUCCUUGUCGGGUAAGUUCCGACCUGCACGAAUGGCGUAAUGAUGGCCAGGCUGUCUCCACCCGAGACUCAGUGAAAUUGAACUCGCUGUGAAGAUGCAGUGUACCCGCGGCAAGACGGAAAGACCCCGUGAACCUUUACUAUAGCUUGACACUGAACAUUGAGCCUUGAUGUGUAGGAUAGGUGGGAGGCUUAGAAGUGUGGACGCCAGUCUGCAUGGAGCCGACCUUGAAAUACCACCCUUUAAUGUUUGAUGUUCUAACGUUGACCCGUAAUCCGGGUUGCGGACAGUGUCUGGUGGGUAGUUUGACUGGGGCGGUCUCCUCCUAAAGAGUAACGGAGGAGCACGAAGGUUGGCUAAUCCUGGUCGGACAUCAGGAGGUUAGUGCAAUGGCAUAAGCCAGCUUGACUGCGAGCGUGACGGCGCGAGCAGGUGCGAAAGCAGGUCAUAGUGAUCCGGUGGUUCUGAAUGGAAGGGCCAUCGCUCAACGGAUAAAAGGUACUCCGGGGAUAACAGGCUGAUACCGCCCAAGAGUUCAUAUCGACGGCGGUGUUUGGCACCUCGAUGUCGGCUCAUCACAUCCUGGGGCUGAAGCAGGUCCCAAGGGUAUGGCUGUUCGCCAUUUAAAGUGGUACGCGAGCUGGGUUUAGAACGUCGUGAGACAGUUCGGUCCCUAUCUGCCGUGGGCGCUGGAGAACUGAGGGGGGCUGCUCCUAGUACGAGAGGACCGGAGUGGACGCAUCACUGGUGUUCGGGUUGUCAUGCCAAUGGCACUGCCCGGUAGCUAAAUGCGGAAGAGAUAAGUGCUGAAAGCAUCUAAGCACGAAACUUGCCCCGAGAUGAGUUCUCCCUGACUCCUUGAGAGUCCUGAAGGAACGUUGAAGACGACGACGUUGAUAGGCCGGGUGUGUAAGCGCAGCGAUGCGUUGAGCUAACCGGUACUAAUGAACCGUGAGGCUUAACCUUACAACGCCGAAGCUGUU